UAUACCGAUUGGGAGCAGGUGGCGAAUUUCGCCCGAGAAAUCGCCCAUUUAACCGACAAACCGACGCUGAAAUAAGCAUAAAGAAUAAAAAAUGCGCGGUCAGAAAAUUAUUUUAAAUUUCCUCUUGUCAGGCCGGAAUAACUCCCUAUAAUGCGCCACCACUGACACGGAACAACGGCAAACACGCCGCCGGGUCAGCGGGGUUCUCCUGAGAAUCUCAACAGAGAAAAGCAAAAAAUGCUUGACUCUGUAGCGGGAAAGCGUAUUAUGCACACCCCGCGCCGCUGAGAAAAAGCGAAGCGGCACUGCUCUUUAACAAUUUAUCAGACAAUCUGUGUGGGCACUCGAAGAUACGGAUUCUUAACGUCGCAAGACGAAAAAUGAAUACCAAGUCUCAAGAGUGAACACGUAAUUCAUUACGAAGUUUAAUUCUUUGAGCAUCAAACUUUUAAAUUGAAGAGUUUGAUCAUGGCUCAGAUUGAACGCUGGCGGCAGGCCUAACACAUGCAAGUCGAACGGUAACAGGAAGAAGCUUGCUUCUUUGCUGACGAGUGGCGGACGGGUGAGUAAUGUCUGGGAAACUGCCUGAUGGAGGGGGAUAACUACUGGAAACGGUAGCUAAUACCGCAUAACGUCGCAAGACCAAAGAGGGGGACCUUCGGGCCUCUUGCCAUCGGAUGUGCCCAGAUGGGAUUAGCUUGUUGGUGGGGUAACGGCUCACCAAGGCGACGAUCCCUAGCUGGUCUGAGAGGAUGACCAGCCACACUGGAACUGAGACACGGUCCAGACUCCUACGGGAGGCAGCAGUGGGGAAUAUUGCACAAUGGGCGCAAGCCUGAUGCAGCCAUGCCGCGUGUAUGAAGAAGGCCUUCGGGUUGUAAAGUACUUUCAGCGGGGAGGAAGGGAGUAAAGUUAAUACCUUUGCUCAUUGACGUUACCCGCAGAAGAAGCACCGGCUAACUCCGUGCCAGCAGCCGCGGUAAUACGGAGGGUGCAAGCGUUAAUCGGAAUUACUGGGCGUAAAGCGCACGCAGGCGGUUUGUUAAGUCAGAUGUGAAAUCCCCGGGCUCAACCUGGGAACUGCAUCUGAUACUGGCAAGCUUGAGUCUCGUAGAGGGGGGUAGAAUUCCAGGUGUAGCGGUGAAAUGCGUAGAGAUCUGGAGGAAUACCGGUGGCGAAGGCGGCCCCCUGGACGAAGACUGACGCUCAGGUGCGAAAGCGUGGGGAGCAAACAGGAUUAGAUACCCUGGUAGUCCACGCCGUAAACGAUGUCGACUUGGAGGUUGUGCCCUUGAGGCGUGGCUUCCGGAGCUAACGCGUUAAGUCGACCGCCUGGGGAGUACGGCCGCAAGGUUAAAACUCAAAUGAAUUGACGGGGGCCCGCACAAGCGGUGGAGCAUGUGGUUUAAUUCGAUGCAACGCGAAGAACCUUACCUGGUCUUGACAUCCACGGAAGUUUUCAGAGAUGAGAAUGUGCCUUCGGGAACCGUGAGACAGGUGCUGCAUGGCUGUCGUCAGCUCGUGUUGUGAAAUGUUGGGUUAAGUCCCGCAACGAGCGCAACCCUUAUCCUUUGUUGCCAGCGGUCCGGCCGGGAACUCAAAGGAGACUGCCAGUGAUAAACUGGAGGAAGGUGGGGAUGACGUCAAGUCAUCAUGGCCCUUACGACCAGGGCUACACACGUGCUACAAUGGCGCAUACAAAGAGAAGCGACCUCGCGAGAGCAAGCGGACCUCAUAAAGUGCGUCGUAGUCCGGAUUGGAGUCUGCAACUCGACUCCAUGAAGUCGGAAUCGCUAGUAAUCGUGGAUCAGAAUGCCACGGUGAAUACGUUCCCGGGCCUUGUACACACCGCCCGUCACACCAUGGGAGUGGGUUGCAAAAGAAGUAGGUAGCUUAACCUUCGGGAGGGCGCUUACCACUUUGUGAUUCAUGACUGGGGUGAAGUCGUAACAAGGUAACCGUAGGGGAACCUGCGGUUGGAUCACCUCCUUACCUUAAAGAAGCGUUCUUUGAAGUGCUCACACAGAUUGUCUGAUGAAAAUGAGCAGUAAAACCUCUACAGGCUUGUAGCUCAGGUGGUUAGAGCGCACCCCUGAUAAGGGUGAGGUCGGUGGUUCAAGUCCACUCAGGCCUACCAAAUUUGCACGGCAAAUUUGAAGAGGUUUUAACUACAUGUUAUGGGGCUAUAGCUCAGCUGGGAGAGCGCCUGCUUUGCACGCAGGAGGUCUGCGGUUCGAUCCCGCAUAGCUCCACCAUCUCUGUAGUGGUUAAAUAAAAAAAUACUUCAGAGAGUACCUGCAAAGGUUCACUGCGAAGUUUUGCUCUUUAAAAAUCUGGAUCAAGCUGAAAAUUGAAACACUGAACAACGAGAGUUGUUCGUGAGUCUCUCAAAUUUUCGCAACACGAUGAUGAAUCGAAAGAAACA
RNAcentral lists this ribosomal RNA (2425 nucleotides) under Escherichia coli Jurua 20/10. Its description in RNAcentral is "partial 23S ribosomal RNA". The stretch from base 451 to 1992 matches the Rfam family "Bacterial small subunit ribosomal RNA". The record is from RNAcentral. Lineage: Bacteria; Pseudomonadati; Pseudomonadota; Gammaproteobacteria; Enterobacterales; Enterobacteriaceae.